UUAACUCUGAAUUGGUAUAGCAGUGCUAGUCCUCACGAUCCACAAAGCCUACAAGAAAUCUAUAAUCUUAAUAGGUCUCCUGAAUCUAAUCUUAAGUCAUAGUGAAGUGCUUAAUAUUCUAUGAUUCAUUUAGCCGGUUUUCAAAAUUUAAUGAAUAAAUAAUUGAAAAUAUUUCUCUUGAGUUAAGAACACCAACAAUAUUCUUACUCAUCUUUCUUUAAUAAUUGAAAUUAUAAUAAAACCAAUUAAAUCAUAAAUAUUCUUAUUGCAAAAUAUAAUGCAAAUCAUGUCAUGCUUUACAUAUAAUAAGUAAUUACUUAAAAUAUGCACAUAAUAAUAAUAUAAUAUUAUUAUGAAAAUUAUCCUUUAAAUAAAUUAAUCAAACUAAUAAUAGUUCAAUUAAUUAAAAAUAAGAAAGCCCAAUUUAAUUAAUUGAAGGCAAAUUAAAAUCCUUAAAUAAAAUAAGGCCCAACAAAUUUAUUAAUUAAUAGCCCAACUGAAACAAAAAUAAAUAAAAUCUCGGCCCAAAUACUCAUAAAAAUCGGCCCAUGACUCGAGCCCACUCUAAUUAAAAUCGGCCCACAACUCGAGCCCACUCUAAUUAAAAUCGGCCCACUACCAAGCCCAUCACUCAAACCCAACCCCAAAGCCCAACCCUCACCAAGCCCUACCACCCCCACCCUCUUCUUCUCCCCCCAUAAAUCGCACAACACUCACACACACUUAGCAGCUGCGCAGCAGCACUCUUCUCUCCCUCUCUCGGCUCCCUCAAAUUUCCGCCGCCACGGCUCCUCCUCCGGCGACUGGCCGCCGCCCGCCGAAUCACCACAUCAUCUUCCUCUCUCCUUUACUUUGGUUCCACCAGACCCCCUUCUCCCUCAUCCUCACUUCACGCCAAACCCCCUUCUCCCUCAUCCUCACUCAUCAAACUGACUCGCCACCGUGGAGACUCGCCGGAGACGCAGCAGCGACGAGCCACCGCUACCAGCUUUCUCUCUGACAGUAGCCGAGCACAGCGGCACCUCCUUCCUCUCGAAUCCGGCGACCACAGGACAUCCAUGGCCGCCGCCUGAACUCCCUCCGCUGAACUCCGGCUGCCACGACCAGUAGCUGGUCGCCGCCCAUUCUCCUCUCCUCUGGUCAGACAACAACAGCCCCACGGUAACUGCUGCUGCUCUCGACCACCUCCAUCUAUCCUUGACAACGGCGAAGCGCCGCUGCCCCCUUCAAGUCCUCCGGCAGUCGCAGCGAGCGAGCUGCGAUACAUCUCUCUCCGCCCUUGGCCGAGCAGCAACGGCGAGUCACCGUCGUGCCCAGCCUCUCUCCAAAAUCUCGACUCACUCCCGACUCUCUUUCUCUAUGUGAGAACAGAGUACCACAGACAACCCUCAAUUUCCGGCAACCGCAACGAAGUCACGGCCGUGGCCCUUCCCGACUCGACACAGCAAGCAAAACUAAAGCUUAAUACUUUUCUUUCUUUCGUUUAUUAACUAGACUUGAAAACUAUUUAGUACUUGCUUAUGCACAUACAUGAAUGUAUAUAUAUAUAUAUAAAUAUAUGCAUAUAUCUGUGAGAUGAUGAAUAUGGAUUUGUUUCUCUGCUUUAGGCUCAAUUAGCACAGGAAGUAAACUAAUUGAGUUAGAAUUAUAACCUUUUGAUGAGGUUUCGGCUGGUGUUUGUUGUUGUAUUUGUUGUUGUUUACUAAGCUUCUGUGAAUGGAGUUCUGUGAAUGGAGUUGUACAAGAAUUUCAGAUGUUGCUUUAUUCAAAAAUUUGCAAGAGAGACAAGGAAAAAAAAAAAAUGAAAGAAUUUCAAAGUUCCAAACUUACAUGGGCAGUGGCGUUUUUUUUUUAGAGAGAGAGAGCUUGGAAGUUGCUGAAGGUUGUAAGAAUUAAAUUAUGAAAUUAUGAUUGCAGUUCUUACCUCUGCACUUGUUCCUUGGUAUGUAGGAGAAAUGGUGAGUGGAAGGGAAUGAGUAUUAUGGCUAAAGUUUAUUUUGGUGGGGGGCAAAGUAUGGUGUGAAGUGUGAGUGGGGAGAGUGGAAAGUGUGAGUGGGUAGUGAUGUUAACGUUGGUGGUGGAAGUAAUGAAUUGGUGAGUAGUGUAGCACCAUUGAUGAGUAGUGGAUUGAGGAUGAGAUAUGGGAGGAUUUUAUUAGUCUGCAUAAAUACAUGUAUGCUAAAAAUAAUCAUGAUAUAGGGUGGCUAUUAGGAACAUAAAUAAUAUAUCGGGACUGUAAUAAUACUUCAGGGUUCGAAAAAAAUAGCUCGUGAAAGAUUGCUAA
RNAcentral lists this long non-coding RNA (2284 nucleotides) under Salvia miltiorrhiza (redroot sage). RNAcentral describes it as "long non-coding RNA (SMIL_LNC012115)". The record is from RNAcentral. Lineage: Eukaryota; Viridiplantae; Streptophyta; Magnoliopsida; Lamiales; Lamiaceae.